RNAcentral lists this ribosomal RNA (214 nucleotides) under uncultured bacterium. RNAcentral describes it as "partial 16S ribosomal RNA". It matches the Rfam family "Bacterial small subunit ribosomal RNA", at positions 118 to 334 of the family's 1533-position model. The record is from RNAcentral.
UGAGCAAUCUGCCCUUCACAUCGGAAUAACCAUUGGAAACGAUGGCUAAUACCGAAUAUGACUUCGGAUCGCAUGAUCUGAAGUGGAAAGCUCCGGCGGUGAAGGAUGAGCUCGCAGCCUAUCAGCUUGUUGGUGAGGUAAUAGCUCACCAAGGCGAUGACGGGUAGCCGGCCUGAGAGGGUGACCGGCCACACUGGGACUGAGACUGGCCCAG